Molecule: ribosomal RNA, 509 nt
Filed under: uncultured bacterium
Lineage: Bacteria
Description: bacterial SSU rRNA
Rfam family: Bacterial small subunit ribosomal RNA
Source: RNAcentral
GAUGAACGCUAGCUACAGGCUUAACACAUGCAAGUCGAGGGGAAACGAUAGAGAAAGCUUGCUUUUCUAGGCGUCGACCGGCGCACGGGUGAGUAACGCGUAUCCAACCUGCCCAUCACUUGGGGAUAACCUUGCGAAAGUAAGACUAAUACCCAAUGACGUCUCUAGAAGACAUCUGAAAAGAGAUUAAAAGAUUUAUCGGUGAUGGAUGGGGAUGCGUCUGAUUAGCUUGUUGGCGGGGUAACGGCCCACCAAGGCGACGAUCAGUAGGGGUUCUGAGAGGAAGGUCCCCCANAUUGGAACUGAGACACGGUCCAAAACUCCUACGGGAGGCAGCAGUGAGGAAUAUUGGUCAAUGGACGAGAGUCUGAACCAGCCAAGUAGCGUGCAGGAUGACGGCCCUAUGGGUUGUAAACUGCUUUUAUAAGGGAAUAAAGUGAGUCUCGUGAGACUUUUUGCAUGUACCUUAUGAAUAAGGACCGGCUAAAUUCCGUGCCAGCAGCCGACGG